AGCAUUAAUCGGAAUUACUGGGCAUAAAGCGUGCGCAGGCGGUUUUGUAAGACAGAUGUGAAAUCCCCGGGCUCAACCUGGGAACUGCAUUUGUGACUGCAUGGCUAGAGUACGGUAGAGGGGAAUGGAAUUCCUCGUGUAGCAGUGAAAUGCGUAGAUAUGCGGAGGAACACCGAUGGCGAAGGCAAUCCCCUGGACCUGUACUGACGCUCAUGCACCAAAGCGUGGGGAGCAAACAGGAUUACAUACCCUGGUAGUCCACGCCCUAAACGAUGUCAACUGGUUGUUGGGA
This 292-nucleotide ribosomal RNA is filed under the name uncultured Comamonadaceae bacterium. Its description in RNAcentral is "partial 16S ribosomal RNA". It matches the Rfam family "Bacterial small subunit ribosomal RNA", at positions 537 to 828 of the family's 1533-position model. Lineage: Bacteria; Pseudomonadati; Pseudomonadota; Betaproteobacteria; Burkholderiales; Comamonadaceae. The record is from RNAcentral.